GAGGCAACGAGGGGAACUGAAACAUCUAAGUACCCUUAGGAAAAGAAAUCAACCGAGAUUCCCCUAGUAGCGGCGAGCGAACGGGGAUUAGCCCUUAAGUCAGAGGGGUGUUAGUGGAAUGGUCUGGAAAGUCCAGCGGCACAGGGUGAUAGCCCCGUACACGAAAACUAACCUUUGAUGAAAACGAGUAAGGCGGGACACGUGAUAUCCUGUUUGAAUAUGGGGGGACCAUCCUCCAAGGCUAAAUACUCCUGACUGACCGAUAGUGAACCAGUACCGUGAGGGAAAGGCGAAAAGAACCCCUGUGAGGGGAGUGAAAUAGAACCUGAAACCGUAUACGUACAAGCAGUGGGAGCGGUUCUUGAGACCGUGACUGCGUACCUUUUGUAUAAUGGGUCAGCGACUUACGUUUUGUAGCGAGGUUAAGCGAAUAGCGGAGCCGUAGGGAAACCGAGUGUUAACUGCGCGUUUAGUUGCAAGGCGUAGACCCGAAACCCGGUGAUCUAGCCAUGGGCAGGUUGAAGGUUGAGUAACAUCAACUGGAGGACCGAACCGACUAAUGUUGAAAAAUUAGCGGAUGACUUGUGGCUGGGGGUGAAAGGCCAAUCAAACCGGGAGAUAUCUGGUUCUCCUCGAAAGCUAUUUAGGUAGCGCCUCGGACGAACACCUUUGGGGGUAGAGCACUGUUAAGGCUAGGGGGUCAUCCCGACUUACCAACCCUUUGCAAACUCCGAAUACCAAAGAGUGCUAUCCGGGAGACAGACGGCGGGUGCUAACGUCCGUCGUCAAAAGGGAAACAACCCAGACCGUCAGCUAAGGUCCCAAAGUGUAUGUUAAGUGGGAAACGAUGUGGGAAGGCUUAGACAGCUAGGAUGUUGGCUUAGAAGCAGCCAUCAUUUAAAGAAAGCGUAAUAGCUCACUAGUCGAGUCGGCCUGCGCGGAAGAUGUAACGGGGCUAAACAUACCACCGAAGCUACGGGUGCAAUCCAUUAGGGUUGCGCGGUAGAGGAGCGUUCUGUAAGCCGUUGAAGGUGAAGGGGUAACCCACACUGGAGGUAUCAGAAGUGCGAAUGCUGACAUGAGUAACGAUAAAGGGGGUGAAAAACCCCCUCGCCGAAAGACCAAGGGUUCCUGUCCAACGUUAAUCGGGGCAGGGUGAGUCGACCCCUAAGGCGAGGCCGAAAGGCGUAGUCGAUGGGAAACAGAUUAAUAUUUCUGUACUUCCGCUAACUGCGAUGGAGAGACGGAGAAGGCUAGGCUAGCGCGGCGUUGGUAGUCCGCGUUUAAGGUGGUAGGUGGGUGACUUAGGCAAAUCCGGGUCACCAUACACUGAGAGCUGAUGACGAGUCCCCAAGGGGAUGAAGUAGUUGAUGCCAUGCUUCCAGGAAAAUCUUCUAAGCUUCAGGUUAGCGGGAAUCGUACCCCAAACCGACACAGGUGGUCGGGUAGAGAAUACCAAGGCGCUUGAGAGAACUCGGCUGAAGGAACUAGGCAAAAUGGUACCGUAACUUCGGGAGAAGGUACGCUGCUGUUGGUGAUGGGACUUGCUCCCUAAGCUGACGGCAGUCGCAGAUACCAGGUGGCUGCAACUGUUUAUCAAAAACACAGCACUGUGCAAAAUCGCAAGAUGACGUAUACGGUGUGACGCCUGCCCGGUGCCGGAAGGUUAAUUGAUUGGGUUAUCGCAAGAGAAGCUCAUGAUCGAAGCCCCGGUAAACGGCGGCCGUAACUAUAACGGUCCUAAGGUAGCGAAAUUCCUUGUCGGGUAAGUUCCGACCUGCACGAAUGGCGUAAUGAUGGCCACGCUGUCUCCAGCCGAGACUCAGUGAAGUUGAAAUUGCGGUGAAGAUGCCGUAUACCCGCGGCUAGACGGAAAGACCCCGUGAACC
This 1889-nucleotide ribosomal RNA is filed under the name marine metagenome. RNAcentral describes it as "bacterial LSU rRNA". It matches the Rfam family "Bacterial large subunit ribosomal RNA", at positions 177 to 2099 of the family's 2925-position model. The record is from RNAcentral.